This is an RNA transcript of Triticum dicoccoides, 3082 nucleotides long. RefSeq lists it as uncharacterized. Lineage: Eukaryota; Viridiplantae; Streptophyta; Magnoliopsida; Poales; Poaceae. The record is from RefSeq and is a predicted model, not a curated record. The transcript is spliced from 11 exons.
AUGUCGAAUGCGUGGGUUGGGCAAGGAAUAAGUAAGAGGGAAAAAAAGAAAGAAAGGAAAAGUUGUGGAGCGAAACCCUCACACCGCACGUCCUCCACCUCCCUUCGCCUCCAGCGCCCCUCUUCCCUCUCCAGCGCCGCCACAGCCGCCUGGGCGACGCUCCCACCCACCACCUAUGGUUGAGGUCGGCGAAGCGGCCCAUCGCGCGGCGCCUGGGGACGUCGCCUCCCUCCGCCGCCAGCAGCGGCGACUGGCUAACAUGCGGUCGUCGCCGCCAAAACCGGAUGGCGUGCUGUCCGGCGAGGGGCCCGACCUGCUGCGCGGCAUCGCCUCCUCCACAUCCGCCAGCGGAUCGAGAUCCACGACCUCCAUCCCGACCUGCCUUUCCCUCCUCUCGCUUGUCAGAAAGGAGUGCAGGCCGCUGUUGCCCCACACGAGGUCAUCCUCCUCUUUGGUUUUGCUGAUUCCGAUGGCGUUGGCUCGACCUACAGUUUAUACCGGAACUUAAUCUGAAGGUCAGGACUUCAUGCCCUUUUCUCUUGAGCUGAAACGCAUGCAAGCAUGGCUGUUGACCGAGCCCCCUAAUUCAACUAUUCAGGUACAGAUUGAUUGGGUCAUGUCUGUAGUUUUUUUCAGUGCUGCAGGUUCAUGUUCUUGGGGAAAAAAUCGUUGUCUAUUUCCUAUAUUGGUGAUGCGGGUGAACUGAUUUGGGUAUUAUAAUGAGCUUUUCUCUUUGGUAAUUUCAUCAUCCACGAAAAUGUCGAUGUUAAAGCAUUUGGUCAUGAUGGAUCAUUUUACUGGUUCUCAGUUCAACUCAAGAUGGCUCAGAUAGGACCAAGUUUGAAUAUUCAUGUGUUGGAUAGGGGUUGGGGUUGGUCUCCUGCACAAGAGGUGCAAAUUGGAGCAGAAGAUUCGUCUAUGAUGCAGCAGCUCAAAGCUGAAGAUUUCGAAGGAUGUCAUAUCUGAGCAGAUAGCUGAUCUGAUUGGGGAUGCGGGUAGUACGGUUGUUGUUAUAAAGUCUAAAAGCUACAUGGGAAGAUCUCAGCAAAUACUUUAAGCCGCAAAGUAUCAAAGGGGAUUUCACCCUCUUGCCAUGCGCUGAGCCGCGGUGGGAGAAAGUGGGUGGCAGCGAGCCGGUGGAUUGGUCAUUGGAUAAACUGCUUGUUGUAUUUCACAAUGAGGACAUUUGUUUGGGGGGUGUAUCCUAGAGUUAAGGAUGCUUGGAUGGAAGUGGUGGCCUCACAAAGGCAAGAUCGAAAUGCACAAAUACCUGCUCAGGUAUUUUCCAGUUAUUUUAACUUCUUGCAAUAUGUUGGCUGACACUUACUCGAUUCAGAUACAGUAUGUUGGCUGAAUCUUACUCCGUUCACAUAUCUCUCUUCUUUGGCUCUUUGUUUUGGCUCGGAUAUGUCUUUGCAAAAGAAUUUUUUGCCACCAAUUAAUUUGCAAGGGCACAUACUAUUUGUAGCAGCGUACAAAAACUCAAUUCACCUCAUGCUUUUGUAGAAAUGGAUUGUCGCACGAAGUUGUCUCAGUUAGUAGACUAUAUUUGUUAACGUAUAGUUACUUUUUGUGAGAAGUAAUCAUAUAGUUUUUUGAUGGCAGUAUACUUAUAUAAUAUUCUUAUUGUUGAGGUACUAAAAACAUUUUGGUUAAUUAUUACUUAGUGUGACACUUCAGUAAGUCUUUUGAGUAGGCAAAAUCUCUCAAUUUAUAUUGCCAUAAUAGGCGAUGUCUCAUUCAUGGCAUCAAAUACAGCUUAUUUUAGAAUGGUACAUAUGUAAUGUUUGGCUUCCUUAUAUCAUGUAUGCUUUCCGUUUGCUGUAAACUAAUAGUUAGGUUGUAGUGUUUUCAUUCGCUCUUGGAAGUCAUAUCACAAGCACAUCCGUAGCUAUUGGCCUUGAACAUUUCACCUUCCAGGUAACUCGGAUGCUCACUACCACUCAGAAUCAGUGACUUGCCUUCUUACUAUGAUUUUUUUAGAAAACCUUCUUGCACUUGAUAAUGCGUCUUUUUAUGACACAUACGACUGUUUCUCCAGCACUGAUUUCCAAGCAACAAAAGUUGUGCCAAUGUAUGAUAAAUUUAUAUUUCUAGCCUACUCUCAUGUUAAUGUUGCUGUUUAUACAACUUAAUUAACAUGGGUCAUCGUCAUGUGUAAAUCUUCUGCUUUGAAUUCCCAUUUUGAUUUUCCACAAACUAUUUCUUUCCGGUAAAUUUAUAUUUCUUAUUGUAUUUACUAAAUGUCAAUUUGGAUAACCAUGCAUCAUACAAUUCAGAUUUUAGUUGCAGUCACUCUCCUCAUCAACGCUCAACAAUGGCCUCUUCUUCCGGUGCCCGAAGCAGCCGCAUACCCAUAUGCCUCGUGCUGAUUCUCCUGAUCGCCUGUGAGAAGUCAGCCAUCAUGCCGGUCGGCCAGCAAUGUGAAGGACCAGAUGAUCGACUAUUGAUUUAUUGCAGUACGAUGUUGCCUCUUCAGUACAUCUGUGUUAGCUCUUUCUGUUACUAUCCAUUCUGUCAGCUCUAUUUGACAGGAAAAAGCCACUGAAGUUAGCGUUGCGUGCCUGAAAGUCUACAAGUAGUAGUCUGACAAGAGGGCGUUUUGAAAGAUGUUUGCUUGUUGUAGCUAUACCAGUUAUACCUCUACGUAUGUUGAAAAUUCAGGUGAUGACCAAUCAAAAGGCUGUUGAUGAGAUCAAUGACACCAGAGGGGCGGACAGGCAGCUGCGAAGCAUCUGACGGAGCAACUGGUGAAUAGGAGGAGCGAAGACAACAUCUCUUGCGUCGCUGUAAACGUCCGCUGCUAUGAGAGCUUCAGUCAGUGAAUAGGAGGAGCAAAGACAACAACUGCUUCGUCAUCGUAAACUUCCACUCUUGGCCGAGCUUCAACCUGCUAGCCCCUUAUGCGUACAAUUAGUUAUAUGCCAGAUUGGUUUUACAAUUUUUUCUGUAGUUGUUCAUACGAUGAAAGAGUUUAAUAUGGUUGGGGAUAACCCACCACCCAAUGGGAUCAAGGUCUCUAAAAUAUUGUUGUUUGUUUGGUUAUCAGGUGUAAAUUCUAUUGCAAGUUCCUUAUAUGUGC